GACGAACGCUGGCGGCGUGCCUAAUACAUGCAAGUCGAACGGAAAGGCCCUGCUCUUGCUGCGCGCUCGAGUGGCGAACGGGUGAGUAACACGUGUGUAACCUGCCCCUGUCUUUCGGAUAACAUUAGGAAACUGGGGCUAAUAUAGCAUAGGAGCUCUUGCUGCACGGUGGGGGAUGGUAAGUUUCGGCGGUUGGGGAUGGACUCGCGGCUUAUCAGCUUGAUGGUGGGGUAGUGGCUUACCAAGGCUUCGACGGGUAGCCGGCCUGGGAGGGUGACCGGCCACAUUGGGACUGAGGGACGGCCCAGACGCCAACGGGCGGCAGCGGUGGAGAGUAUUGCGGAGUGAGCGGGAGCCUGAUGCAGCGGCGCCGGGUGCGGAAUGACGGCUUUCGGGGUGUAAACCACUUUGGAAGGUAACGAGGCGUGAGUGACGGUAAUGGGUAAGAAAGCACCGGCUAACUACGUG
This 468-nucleotide ribosomal RNA is filed under the name uncultured bacterium. Its description in RNAcentral is "partial 16S ribosomal RNA". It matches the Rfam family "Bacterial small subunit ribosomal RNA", at positions 28 to 507 of the family's 1533-position model. The record is from RNAcentral.